Molecule: ribosomal RNA, 253 nt
Filed under: uncultured bacterium
Lineage: Bacteria
Description: partial 16S ribosomal RNA
Rfam family: Bacterial small subunit ribosomal RNA
Source: RNAcentral
CACGUAGGGGGCAAGCGUUGUCCGGAUUCAUUGGGCGUAAAGAGCUCGUAGGCGGUUCGAUAAGUCGGGUGUGAAAUCCCCGGGCUCAACCUGGGAACUGCAUCCGAAACUGCCUUGCUCGAGUAUGGGAGAGGGAAGUGGAAUUUCCGGUGUAGCGGUGAAAUGCGUAGAUAUCGGAAGGAACAUCAGUGGCGAAGGCGACUUCCUGGACCAAUACUGACGCUCAGGUGCGAAAGCGUGGGGAGCAAACAGG